GAAUGUAGCUCAGUGGUAGAGUACAUGCUUAGCAUGCAUAUGAGGUCUUGGGUUCAAUUCAUAGUGUAACA
Molecule: transfer RNA, 71 nt
Filed under: Marmota monax (woodchuck)
Lineage: Eukaryota; Metazoa; Chordata; Mammalia; Rodentia; Sciuridae
Description: tRNA.Ala
Source: RNAcentral